UGGCAGGUAUGGAAAACUUGCUUACGUGAUAGAAAUUUCCUAUAAAUAUUACUGUAAAUUGUUUUCGGAGACACAACUAAAACCGCCUUAUCAGAAGAAGAAGAGAAUUCUUCAUUGUAAAUUGUCAGACAUUAUGAAAGCAAUUGCAAUUUUUGUUCUCUUUACCUUUUGUUUCAUCGUUUGCCAUUGCAAACUAGAGAACCGGUAACUGAUGCAGAGUAUGAAAAAUUUAUAUAAGAGUUUAAAGGAAAAUCGCAUCCAUCUUAAGCAAAAUGCUACACAGUGCAAAGAAGCAAUCCAGGAAACACACAAAGCAAUCGGCGCUAUUGUACAUAAUAACCAGGAAUGCGAGAGAAUUGCUAAUUCAUUUAAUAUUCCUGCUAACAUUGAAGAACAGUUAAAAAAUUGUUUACGUAUUCAACGUAAACCUUCAAAGCAAUCACAUGCUGAAAACCAAAGAAAAUUUGUACACGAAAAAUAACUAUGUAUUUUUAAACGAGCAUAUGAUGAAAUAAUUGUAAAAUUUCUGAGUCAAUAUUUUAAACUUUUGUAUUAGUUUCUAUCAUUUUAAAAAUUACAAAAAUGUACUAUUAUGAAAUAAAAUUCUAUUUCUUUCUUUCUGAG
RNAcentral lists this long non-coding RNA (624 nucleotides) under Androctonus crassicauda. Lineage: Eukaryota; Metazoa; Arthropoda; Arachnida; Scorpiones; Buthidae. The record is from RNAcentral.